This 748-nucleotide ribosomal RNA is filed under the name uncultured Ruminococcus sp. Its description in RNAcentral is "bacterial SSU rRNA". It matches the Rfam family "Bacterial small subunit ribosomal RNA", at positions 28 to 776 of the family's 1533-position model. Lineage: Bacteria; Bacillati; Bacillota; Clostridia; Eubacteriales; Oscillospiraceae. The record is from RNAcentral.
GAUGAACGCUGGCGGCGUGCCUAACACAUGCAAGUCGAGCGAAGCACUUUGCUUAGAUUCUUCGGAUGAAGAGGAUUGUGACUGAGCGGCGGACGGGUGAGUAACGCGUGGGUAACCUGCCUCAUACAGGGGGAUAACAGUUAGACAUGACCGCUAAUACCGCAUAAGACCACAGCACCGCAUGGUGCGGGGGUAAAAACUCCGGUGGUAUGAGAUGGACCCGCGUCUGAUUAGCUAGUUGGUAAGGUAACGGCUUACCAAGGCGACGAUCAGUAGCCGACCUGAGAGGGUGACCGGCCACAUUGGGACUGAGACACGGCCCAAACUCCUACGGGAGGCAGCAGUGGGGAAUAUUGCACAAUGGGGGAAACCCUGAUGCAGCGACGCCGCGUGAGCGAAGAAGUAUUUCGGUAUGUAAAGCUCUACCAGCAGGGAAGAAAAUGACGGUACCUGACUAAGAAGCACCGGCUAAAUACGUGCCAGCAGCCGCGGUAAUACGUAUGGUGCAAGCGUUAUCCGGAUUUACUGGGUGUAAAGGGAGCGUAGACGGAUGGGCAAGUCUGAUGUGAAAACCCGGGGCUCAACCCCGGGACUGCAUUGGAAACUGUUCAUCUAGAGUGCUGGAGAGGUAAGUGGAAUUCCUAGUGUAGCGGUGAAAUGCGUAGAUAUUAGGAGGAACACCAGUGGCGAAGGCGGCUUACUGGACAGUAACUGACGUUGAGGCUCGAAAGCGUGGGGAGCAAACAGG